Neofelis nebulosa (Clouded leopard) is the source of this 866-nucleotide long non-coding RNA. RefSeq lists it as uncharacterized. Lineage: Eukaryota; Metazoa; Chordata; Mammalia; Carnivora; Felidae. The record is from RefSeq and is a predicted model, not a curated record. The transcript is spliced from 2 exons.
CGGCGCCGGGCUCCAGCGAUCUGGCGGCACUGGGAGCCACGCCAUCCGCGCGUCUGCCCAUCUCCGGGCGGGGCGCCGGCCUUGGCUCGCGGCAGGAGGCGGGCGAAAGCUUCAGGCUGCCUCCAUGUCCAUCGGGAUGAUAUAAGGAGGGUUUUAAGGCAGAAAUACAAGGGGAUUGACACCUGCUUCGGAUACCCGUGUACCAUCCAACUUCCAGAUCAGGUAGUACCUGGCUACAGUGGGAAAACAAGACAAGGUCCUGGUGUGCUCCAAAGAAAGGUUAAAAGCUCAGUGAAGAUGCAAGGGAUUGUCAGCAAAAGUCUCACUAAUGAGGGCAGAAAAACAAAGGGACCGUGGUCUUUGAUGAUUCGUACUAAUAUGCAGAGGAGGUGGGUACCAUCUUGGACUGUAGCCAGAAACACACAUUUGCUGGUACCUCUUUUGUGUCCAGUCCUUAAUAUCUGCAUUUCAGAGUUUGGCUGGCUUUGGGUUUGCUGCAGCAAAGAAGAAAUAUCCCAAAUGUGACUGGGAAGAGAAGACCUGGGACUGUCCAGAAGCUGGAGAGCCAUAGCAAGGAUGUUAAAGAAUUGACUGAUGAAUAGCUUUCAAGUGCUAUCUGGUUGUGUCCUGGCAGACUCCCUUGGGGUCUCCCCCACUUUGCAUUUUUCAGGCUGGCUGAACUCAGUCAUUCCAGAAAGAGUGAGAAAUUGGUGGGAGUGGGGUGGGGGGAAUGAAAAACAAACGAAUAUCCUAGCAUCCCACAGCUGAGUCCUUUGUUUAUCCAGUAAAUAUUUCUUGAGUACCUACUGUGUGCCAGAAGCUGUUCAGGCAAUGGAAAUCAAUGAAUAAAACAGAGCCCUACCUGC